GCCGCGGCCAGACAUGGCCGAGACGUACGGUGAGGAGGGGCCGGGGCCGGGGCCGGGCCGGGGCGGGGC
Molecule: microRNA precursor, 69 nt
Filed under: Notamacropus eugenii (tammar wallaby)
Lineage: Eukaryota; Metazoa; Chordata; Mammalia; Diprotodontia; Macropodidae
Description: miRNA (ENSMEUG00000018120.1)
Source: RNAcentral